Molecule: ribosomal RNA, 1128 nt
Filed under: Escherichia coli
Lineage: Bacteria; Pseudomonadati; Pseudomonadota; Gammaproteobacteria; Enterobacterales; Enterobacteriaceae
Description: partial 23S ribosomal RNA
Rfam family: Bacterial large subunit ribosomal RNA
Source: RNAcentral
CUGGAGGUAUCAGAAGUGCGAAUGCUGACAUAAGUAACGAUAAAGCGGGUGAAAAGCCCGCUCGCCGGAAGACCAAGGGUUCCUGUCCAACGUUAAUCGGGGCAGGGUGAGUCGACCCCUAAGGCGAGGCCGAAAGGCGUAGUCGAUGGGAAACAGGUUAAUAUUCCUGUACUUGGUGUUACUGCGAAGGGGGGACGGAGAAGGCUAUGUUGGCCGGGCGACGGUUGUCCCGGUUUAAGCGUGUAGGCUGGUUUUCCAGGCAAAUCCGGAAAAUCAAGGCUGAGGCGUGAUGACGAGGCACUACGGUGCUGAAGCAACAAAUGCCCUGCUUCCAGGAAAAGCCUCUAAGCAUCAGGUAACAUCAAAUCGUACCCCAAACCGACACAGGUGGUCAGGUAGAGAAUACCAAGGCGCUUGAGAGAACUCGGGUGAAGGAACUAGGCAAAAUGGUGCCGUAACUUCGGGAGAAGGCACGCUGAUAUGUAGGUGAAGCGACUUGCUCGUGGAGCUGAAAUCAGUCGAAGAUACCAGCUGGCUGCAACUGUUUAUUAAAAACACAGCACUGUGCAAACACGAAAGUGGACGUAUACGGUGUGACGCCUGCCCGGUGCCGGAAGGUUAAUUGAUGGGGUCAGCGCAAGCGAAGCUCUUGAUCGAAGCCCCGGUAAACGGCGGCCGUAACUAUAACGGUCCUAAGGUAGCGAAAUUCCUUGUCGGGUAAGUUCCGACCUGCACGAAUGGCGUAAUGAUGGCCAGGCUGUCUCCACCCGAGACUCAGUGAAAUUGAACUCGCUGUGAAGAUGCAGUGUACCCGCGGCAAGACGGAAAGACCCCGUGAACCUUUACUAUAGCUUGACACUGAACAUUGAGCCUUGAUGUGUAGGAUAGGUGGGAGGCUUUGAAGUGUGGACGCCAGUCUGCAUGGAGCCGACCUUGAAAUACCACCCUUUAAUGUUUGAUGUUCUAACGUUGACCCGUAAUCCGGGUUGCGGACAGUGUCUGGUGGGUAGUUUGACUGGGGCGGUCUCCUCCUAAAGAGUAACGGAGGAGCACGAAGGUUGGCUAAUCCUGGUCGGACAUCAGGAGGUUAGUGCAAUGGCAUAAGCCAGCUUGACUGCGAGCGUGACG